UUGGAGGGCAAGUCUGGUGCCAGCAGCCGCGGUAAUUCCAGCUCCAAUAGCGUAUAUUAAAGUUGUUGCAGUUAAAAAGCUCGUAGUUGAAUUUCGGGAUCAGAGUGUCGGUCGUGCCUCGGUACGCACUGGUAUUAUUGGUUCCUACCUUCUGAAGAACCGCGAUGUCAUUAAUUUGGUGUCGUGGGGAAUCAGGACUGUUACUUUGAAAAAAUUAGAGUGUUUAAAGCAGGCUUACGCUUGAAUACAUUAGCAUGUAAUAAUGAAAUAGGACGUUUGAUUCUAUUUUGUUGGUUUCUAGGAUUGACGUAAUGAUUAAUAGGGAUAGUUGGGGGCAUUAGUAUUCAAUUGUCAGAGGUGAAAUUCUUGGAUUUAUUGAAGACUAACUACUGCGAAAGCAUUUGCCAAGGAUGUAUUCAUUAAUCAAGAACGAAAGUUAGGGGAUCGAAGACGAUCAGAUACCGUCGUAGUCUUAACCAUAAACUAUGCCGACUAGGGAUCGGAUGAUGUUAAUUUUUUAAUGACUCAUUCGGCGCCUUACGGGAAACCAAAGUGUUUGGGUUC
Molecule: ribosomal RNA, 564 nt
Filed under: uncultured Glomeromycotina
Lineage: Eukaryota; Fungi; Glomeromycota
Description: SSU rRNA
Rfam family: Eukaryotic small subunit ribosomal RNA
Source: RNAcentral